This 77-nucleotide transfer RNA is filed under the name Oscillospiraceae bacterium. Its description in RNAcentral is "tRNA-Val". It matches the Rfam family "tRNA". From Rfam's summary of the family: Transfer RNA (tRNA) molecules are approximately 80 nucleotides in length. Their secondary structure includes four short double-helical elements and three loops (D, anti-codon, and T loops). Lineage: Bacteria; Bacillati; Bacillota; Clostridia; Eubacteriales; Oscillospiraceae. The record is from RNAcentral.
GGGAGCGUAGCUCGGCCGGUUAGAGCGCUUGCCUUACAAGCAAGAGGUCACAGGUUCGAGUCCUGUCGUUCCCACCA